UCCAGAGUUUGAUCAUGGCUCAGGACGAACGCUGGCGGCGUGCCUAAUACAUGCAAGUCGAGCGGACUUAAAAAGCUUGCUUUUUAAGUUAGCGGCGGACGGGUGAGUAACACGUGGGCAACCUGCCUGUAAGACUGGGAUAACUUCGGGAAACCGGAGCUAAUACCGGAUAAUCCUUUUCUACUCAUGUAGGAAAGCUGAAAGACGGUUUACGCUGUCACUUACAGAUGGGCCCGCGGCGCAUUAGCUAGUUGGUGAGGUAACGGCUCACCAAGGCGACGAUGCGUAGCCGACCUGAGAGGGUGAUCGGCCACACUGGGACUGAGACACGGCCCAGACUCCUACGGGAGGCAGCAGUAGGGAAUCUUCCGCAAUGGACGAAAGUCUGACGGAGCAACGCCGCGUGAGUGAUGAAGGUUUUCGGAUCGUAAAACUCUGUUGUUAGGGAAGAACAAGUACGAGAGUAACUGCUCGUACCUUGACGGUACCUAACCAGAAAGCCACGGCUAACUACGUGCCAGCAGCCGCGGUAAUACGUAGGUGGCAAGCGUUGUCCGGAAUUAUUGGGCGUAAAGCGCGCGCAGGCGGUCCUUUAAGUCUGAUGUGAAAGCCCACGGCUCAACCGUGGAGGGUCAUUG
This 638-nucleotide ribosomal RNA is filed under the name Bacillus benzoevorans. RNAcentral's name for it is "bacterial SSU rRNA". It matches the Rfam family "Bacterial small subunit ribosomal RNA", at positions 1 to 628 of the family's 1533-position model. The record is from RNAcentral. Lineage: Bacteria; Bacillati; Bacillota; Bacilli; Caryophanales; Bacillaceae.